CGUUGACUCUGGAAUUGAUAUAAAAAAUACAUUUCACCGACAUGUAUUUGAGUAUUGUCUUAGUUAUAUCUUAAACAUAAAUAGCGGAUUUUCCCACUAAAUGACUAAACAUUUCAGUUUCAAUUGAAUGUUCGUGUCAUGCUCCUAACAUCGGUGAACAUUCUAACUUAUUCUGAAAGCAGAGGUACGAUUAAAUAUUCC
RNAcentral lists this long non-coding RNA (201 nucleotides) under Mytilus galloprovincialis (Mediterranean mussel). The record is from RNAcentral. Lineage: Eukaryota; Metazoa; Mollusca; Bivalvia; Mytilida; Mytilidae.